GUCCUCGUAGCUCAGCUGGAUAGAGCAUCCGCCUCCUAAGCGGAAGGUCGUUGGUUCGAAUCCAAUCGAGGACGCCA
Molecule: transfer RNA, 77 nt
Filed under: Erysipelotrichaceae bacterium
Lineage: Bacteria; Bacillati; Bacillota; Erysipelotrichia; Erysipelotrichales; Erysipelotrichaceae
Description: tRNA-Arg
Rfam family: tRNA
About the family: Transfer RNA (tRNA) molecules are approximately 80 nucleotides in length.
Source: RNAcentral